CAAGUCGAGGGGCAUCGCAGUGUAGCAAUACAUGGGCGGCGACCGGCAAACGGGUGCGUAACACGUACGCAACCUUCCCGUUACUGUGGGAUAGCCCAGGGAAACUUGGAUUAAUACCACAUAUUGCCAUGGAGAGGCAUCUCUUUAUGGCCAAAGAAUUUCGGUAACGGAUGGGCGUGCGGUUGAUUAGAUAGUUGGCGGGGUAACGGCCCACCAAGUCUACGAUCAAUAGCUGAUGUGAGAGCAUGAUCAGCCACACGGGCACUGAGACACGGGCCCGACUCCUACGGGAGGCAGCAGUAAGGAAUAUUGGGCAAUGGACGCAAGUCUGACCCAGCCAUGCCGCGUGAAGGAUGAAGGUCCUCUGGAUUGUAAACUUCUUUUUUCUGGGGCGAAAACCAGCCUUUCUAGGUUGUUUGACAGUACCAGAAGAAUAAGCACCGGCUAACUCCGUGCCAGCAGCCGCGGUAAUACGGAGGGUGCAAGCGUUAUCCGGAUUCACUGGGUUUAAAGGGUGCGUAGGUGGGUUGGUAAGUCAGUGGUGAAAUCCCCGAGCUUAACUUGGGAACUGCCAUUGAUACUAUCAAUCUUGAAUAUUGUGGAGGUAAGCGGAAUAUGUCAUGUAGCGGUGAAAUGCUUAGAUAUGACAUAGAACACCAAUUGCGCAGGCAGCUUGCUACACAAUGAUUGACACUGAGGCACGAAAGCGUGGGGAUCAAACAGGAUUAGAUACCCUGGUAGUCCACGCCCUAAACGAUGGAUACUCGACAUCAGCGAUACACAGUUGGUGUCUGAGCGAAAGCAUUAAGUAUCCCACCUGGGAAGUACGACCGCAAGGUUGAAACUCAAAGGAAUUGGCGG
Molecule: ribosomal RNA, 861 nt
Filed under: uncultured bacterium
Lineage: Bacteria
Description: bacterial SSU rRNA
Rfam family: Bacterial small subunit ribosomal RNA
Source: RNAcentral